Molecule: ribosomal RNA, 440 nt
Filed under: uncultured bacterium
Lineage: Bacteria
Description: partial 16S ribosomal RNA
Rfam family: Bacterial small subunit ribosomal RNA
Source: RNAcentral
CCUACGGGUGGCAGCAGUGGGGAAUAUUGCACAAUGGGGGAAACCCUGAUGCAGCAACGCCGCGUGAGUGAAGAAGUAUUUCGGUAUGUAAAGCUCUAUUAGCAGGGAAGAAGAUGACGGUACGUGAGUAAGAAGCCCCGGCUAACUACGUGCCAGCAGCCGCGGUAAUACGGAGGGGGCAAGCGUUAUCCGGAUUUACUGGGUGUAAAGGGAGCGUAGACGGUGAGACAAGUCUGAAGUGAAAGCCCCGGGUUCAACCCCGGGACGGCUUUGGAAACUGCCUGACUGGAGUGCUGGAGAGGCAAGCGGAAUUCGUGGUGUAGCGGUGAAAUGCGUAGAUAUUAGGAAGAACACCAGUGGCGAAGGCGGCUUGCUGGACAGUAACUGACGUUGAGGCUCGAAAGCGUGGGUAUCGAACAGGAUUAGAUACCCGGGUAGUC